Molecule: non-coding RNA, 86 nt
Organism: Cerioporus squamosus
Lineage: Eukaryota; Fungi; Basidiomycota; Agaricomycetes; Polyporales; Polyporaceae
Source: the annotation of a GenBank genome assembly
GCCUUCUUAGCUCAGUGGUAGAGCGCGCCACUCGUACCGCUUCUCGGUCAAUGGUGAGGUCGGUUGUUCAAUCCAGCCAGGAGGCA